GCUGUGGGGAUUUUUCACUCUUUUUUUUUUUUUUUUUUUUUUUUUUUCCUAUGAACAUUGAUGACGGCAGCAGAAUUAGGCCAAAAGAUCCAGUAUCUUCUGGAAAUUGAAUCUCCUCCAGGUGGAGUGGAUUGGCAUGAAGACUGUGGAUUUGGGCAGUCCAGUCAAGGCAGGCAAUCACAAAGGAGACGCCGAAGCCAUGUGAAGUUGAAGGACACUCUCCCUGGUGAGCCAGCAGACCAUGCUCCUUUGGAAACCAAGAUGUGGCCAAGGAUGUUUGUGCCUGCUCCAGGUCAGAAUGAACGCAGCAUGCAGACUGCAGAGUGUGGCCAGCAUGAAAACACUGGAAGUGGUCUUUCAGGCAUCUGGGAGAGCAUUAUGGGUCCAAACUACUCCUGUCAGGUUUUACAUUUCUGCAGAUCUGCCAAACGCAAACCUGCACUCACCCCAUACCAAGGCAGC
Molecule: long non-coding RNA, 462 nt
Filed under: Chrysolophus pictus (golden pheasant)
Lineage: Eukaryota; Metazoa; Chordata; Aves; Galliformes; Phasianidae
Description: lncRNA (ENSCPIG00010005273.1)
Source: RNAcentral